RNAcentral lists this ribosomal RNA (459 nucleotides) under uncultured bacterium. Its description in RNAcentral is "partial 16S ribosomal RNA". It matches the Rfam family "Bacterial small subunit ribosomal RNA", at positions 338 to 795 of the family's 1533-position model. The record is from RNAcentral.
CCUACGGGCGGCAGCAGUGAGGAAUAUUGGUCAAUGGGCGGGAGCCUGAACCAGCCAAGCCGCGUGAAGGAAGAAGGCGCCAAGCGUCGUAAACUUCUUUUGUCGGGGAACAAAGGGCGCCACGUGUGGCGUUGUGAGUGUACCCGAUGAAAAAGCAUCGGCUAACUCCGUGCCAGCAGCCGGGGUAAUACGGAGGAUGCGAGCGUUAUCCGGAUUUAUUGGGUUAAAGGGGGGAGAAGGCGGUCCGGAAAGUCCGCGGUAAAAGCCCGGGGCUCAACCCCGGAGAGCCGUUGAGACUGUCGAACUAGAGACGGCGAGAGGAAAGCGGAAUGCGCGGUGUAGCGGUGAAAUGCAUAGAUAUCGCGCAGAACUCCGAUUGCGAAGGCAGCGUACCGGCGCCGGACUGACGCUGAGGCACGAAAGCGUGGGUAUCGAACAGGAUUAGAUACCCCAGUAGUC